CCUAGCAAAGGACAUCUUGGUUGCUUCCAAAAUUCGGCAAUUAUGAGUAAAGCUGCUAUAAAUAUUCAUGUGCAGAUGUUUUUAUGGAUAUAAUUUUUCUACUCAUUUGAGUAAAUACCUAAGAGUGCAAUUUCUGGAUGGUAAGAGUAUGUUUAGAUUUGUAGGAAACUGCCAGACCAUCUUCCAAAGCGUUUAUCAUUUUGCAUUCCCACCAGCAAUGAAUGAGUUCCUGCUGCUCUACAACCUUGCCAACAUUUGGAAUUGUCAGUGUUCUGGAUUUUAGCCAUUCUAUUAGGUUAUAACAGGGUUCAAGAUGUGUACUUUCAUGGAAAAUGAUGUUUCCAUCUUUUCAAUGGUUGUUUGGCUCAAAGGGGUGGAUCAAGAACAAGGAACAUUAAUUGGUAGAGAGAAAGAAAAAAAAGUGACCAAUAAAGAAUCCCCUGAUCACUGUGUGGGCUGCAAAUAGCUGGGAUCAGACCACCCAUCCUGCUGUGUCCAACGCUCUGUGACUCCUGGAGCCAUGGUAUAAACCGAAUCUGCAGGGAGUGGCACACGCACACGUCUUUAAUUUCCAUUUCCUCAUUAUCAUCUCUUAUAUUCUACUGCUCAACAUGAAAAAAAAAAAAAGAGUGUGAGAUAUUGCUAAUAAACUGAUCCUUUCAAGCUUAGGAUCACAGCCCCGACAA
Long non-coding RNA from Homo sapiens (human), 686 nucleotides. RefSeq lists it as uncharacterized. Lineage: Eukaryota; Metazoa; Chordata; Mammalia; Primates; Hominidae. The transcript is spliced from 2 exons. The record is from RefSeq and is a predicted model, not a curated record.